RNAcentral lists this ribosomal RNA (221 nucleotides) under uncultured bacterium. Its description in RNAcentral is "partial 16S ribosomal RNA". It matches the Rfam family "Bacterial small subunit ribosomal RNA", at positions 328 to 539 of the family's 1533-position model. The record is from RNAcentral.
ACGCUCGACACCUACGGGAGCAGCAGUGAGGAAUAUUGGUCAAUGGGCGCAGGCCUGAACCAGCCAAGUAGCGUGAAGGAUGACUGCCCUAUGGGUUGUAAACUUCUUUUAUAUGGGAAUAAAGUUUUCCACGUGUGGAAUUUUGUAUGUACCAUAUGAAUAAGGAUCGGCUAACUCCGUGCAGCAGCCGGACGGUAAUCUGAGGCGGGCUGGACGAAGGC